RNAcentral lists this ribosomal RNA (497 nucleotides) under uncultured bacterium. RNAcentral describes it as "partial 16S ribosomal RNA". It matches the Rfam family "Bacterial small subunit ribosomal RNA", at positions 28 to 507 of the family's 1533-position model. The record is from RNAcentral.
GAUGAACGCUGGCGGCGUGCCUAAUACAUGCAAGUCGAGCGAACAGAUGAGGAGCUUGCUCCUCUGACGUUAGCGGCGGACGGGUGAGUAACACGUGGAUAACCUACCUAUAAGACUGGGAUAACCUCGGGAAACCGGAGCUAAUACCGGAUAAUAUAUUGAACCGCAUGGUUCAAUAGUGAAAGACGGUUUUGCUGUCACUUAUAGAUGGAUCCGCGCCGCAUUAGCUAGUUGGUAAGGUAACGGCUUACCAAGGCAACGAUGCGUAGCCGACCUGAGAGGGUGAUCGGCCACACUGGAACUGAGACACGGUCCAGACUCCUACGGGAGGCAGCAGUAGGGAAUCUUCCGCAAUGGGCGAAAGCCUGACGGAGCAACGCCGCGUGAGUGAUGAAGGUCUUCGGAUCGUAAAACUCUGUUAUUAGGGAGGAACAAAUGUGUAGGUAACUAUGCACGUCUUGACGGUACCUAAUCAGAAAGCCACGGCUAACUACGUG